CAAGUGGUGGAUAAGGUGACUCAAAGGAAAGACGACUCAACCUGGAACUCAGAGGUCAUGAUGAGGGUCCAAAAGGCAAGAACUAAAUGUGCCCGAAAGUCCAGAUUGAAAGAAAAGAAAAAGGAGAAAGAUAUCUGUUCAAGCUCAAAAAGGAGAUUUCAGAAAAAUAUUCACCGAAGAGUGUUGGUGGCAGUGGUGGUUUGUUGCAGGCCACUGUGUACACAUAGCUUAUCUGUCACUCGAGAUGAAAGAGUUCCUGCAAACUAACCAGAGAACGUUCCCCAAUACCCUGUACAUUAUUGGAAUUCAUGGAGGGGAGAAUUCAAAAGGAAGAUGGAGUGAAGACUGAAUAACACAAAACUGUUCUCUUCUACUUUAAGGAAAACCCAAAAGUGACACUGUGGAUUUUCACUGUUCUAAGCUCCCCGUGACCUGUGGUGAGGCGAAAGGGAUUUUAUAUAAGAAGAAAAUGAAACACGGUGAGUUCCUUGGUCUUCUGCUCUUUGGAAUCCCUAGAUGAAGGACUCACUAGAAGGGAGGAAAAUACCCGUGUGUGUAAUUGAUCAGGAAAUGGACCCUGCUAGCUAGACUGCAGAAGAAACGCUUCUUAGGAAGGAAUUUCCAAACUCUUCCACAUCAUGGUAUUUCUGGCAAUCAGACCCUCCACUCCCACCUGGAAGUCACCCAUGGGCCCUGCUGUACUGACAGCCAUGUCCUUGCUGCAUGUAGGCACUACACGAAUGCACAUUCUGUCCCACCCCUCACCACUCAGUCAGGCUUUAGGGCUGGCUUCAGUCCAAGAGAAGAGGCCCGCAGACUCCCCUGCUACUCCUUCCACCUCACAGAGGAAGUCUCUCUUGACCUGGAAAGGUAGAAGGCCACAAUUAGGAUGAAGAGGUUCAGGGUGAAUUCACAGAGGAUGGGGGUAGAUCCAAGAAUGGGCUUUUUCUUACAGGAUCCUCAGUGAAGUGCAUUCGGAAUGAGGAUGGAACUUGGUUAACACCAAAUGAAUUUGAA
This 1017-nucleotide long non-coding RNA is filed under the name Homo sapiens (human). Its description in RNAcentral is "HSALNT0048485". The record is from RNAcentral. Lineage: Eukaryota; Metazoa; Chordata; Mammalia; Primates; Hominidae.